UACAGAGGUCUCAAGCGUUGUUCGGAUUCAUUGGGCGUAAAGGGCGCGUAGGUGGCCUUCUAAGUUGAACGUGAAAUCCCUGGGCUCAACCCAGGAACUGCGUCCAAGACUGGGAGGCUUGAAUCCGGGAGAGGGAUGCGGAAUUCCAGGUGUAGCGGUGAAAUGCGUAGAUAUCUGGAGGAACACCGGUGGCGAAGGCGGCAUCCUGGACCGGUAUUGACACUGAGGCGCGAAAGCCAGGGGAGCAAACGGG
Molecule: ribosomal RNA, 253 nt
Filed under: uncultured bacterium
Lineage: Bacteria
Description: partial 16S ribosomal RNA
Rfam family: Bacterial small subunit ribosomal RNA
Source: RNAcentral